Long non-coding RNA from Vicugna pacos (alpaca), 518 nucleotides. RefSeq lists it as uncharacterized. Lineage: Eukaryota; Metazoa; Chordata; Mammalia; Artiodactyla; Camelidae. The record is from RefSeq and is a predicted model, not a curated record.
CUUGACCCGCGGUGAUUGGCAGGGAGGAGUGGGGCGGGGGUAAAGCAGGUUCUUUAAGAGGUGAUUGGCUGAGUCGGCCGCGGGGCGGGAAGAGGUAAGAUUCGGUUGGGGAUUCGUGCGAGACGAUCGGAAGUUGGCUGCUGUCGCGGUUGUGCCUGGUGUUCGGAGAAAGGAGGAGCGUUUGCGGACUCGGUGUCUGUCAGCAGCAGACACAUGUCCCACCACAGAAGGGAGGCACCUGGGCCCCUUCCCCGGACCUCACCUUCUUCUGUAAGGCGCAGUGAAACACGAAGAUGAAGACCCCCUGGAAGGCGUUGAAGGUGGUGAAGAGAUAGGCCAUGACCACCGACUCCUUGUUGAUGAAGAGGAGGCCGAAAGCCCAGGAAGAGCAGCUCAGCCAGGAAGAGGUUGAUGCACAGGUUCUUGUGGAUGGUGUUCCGGUCAGUCUGCAGUCCCCGCAGGAAGCAGAAGGUGGAGAUGCAGAUUGCCAGGCAGACCAGGGAGAUGACGAUGCCCAC